AUUGUAGGCUGAAACUCGCCUACAUGAAGCNGGAGUUGCUAGUAAUCGCGAAUCAGCAUGUCGCGGUGAAUACGUUCCCGGGUCUUGUACACACCGCCCGUCACACCAUGGGAGUCAGUAACGCCCGAAGUCAGUGACCGAACCGAGAGGACGGAGCUGCCGAAGGCGGGACGGAUAACUGGGGUGAAGUCGUAACAAGGUAAC
This 204-nucleotide ribosomal RNA is filed under the name uncultured bacterium. RNAcentral's name for it is "partial 16S ribosomal RNA". It matches the Rfam family "Bacterial small subunit ribosomal RNA", at positions 1297 to 1500 of the family's 1533-position model. The record is from RNAcentral.